Molecule: ribosomal RNA, 301 nt
Filed under: uncultured bacterium
Lineage: Bacteria
Description: partial 16S ribosomal RNA
Rfam family: Bacterial small subunit ribosomal RNA
Source: RNAcentral
CAGUCGCCACGGUAAUACGUAGGUGGCAAGCGUUGUCCGGAAUUAUUGGGCGUAAAGCGCGCGCAGGUGGUUUAAUAAGUCUGAUGUGAAAGCCCACGGCUCAACCGUGGAGGGUCAUCGGAAACUGUUAAACUUGAGUGCAGGAGAGAAAAGUGGAAUUCCUAGUGUAGCGGUGAAAUGCGUAGAGAUUAGGAGGAACACCAGUGGCGAAGGCGGCUUUUUGGCCUGUAACUGACACUGAGGCGCGAAAGCGUGGGGAGCAAACAGGAUUAGAUACCCCCGUAGUCCCUGUCUCUUAUAC